Molecule: ribosomal RNA, 439 nt
Filed under: uncultured bacterium
Lineage: Bacteria
Description: partial 16S ribosomal RNA
Rfam family: Bacterial small subunit ribosomal RNA
Source: RNAcentral
CUACGGGCGGCUGCAGUGAGGAAUAUUGCACAAUGGGGGGAACCCUGAUGCAGCAACGCCGCGUGGAGGAUGACGCAUUUCGGUGUGUAAACUCCUUUUAUAUGUCAAGAAAAUGACGGUAGCAUAUGAAUAAGCACCGGCUAACUCCGUGCCAGCAGCCGCGGUAAUACGGAGGGUGCAAGCGUUACUCGGAAUCACUGGGCGUAAAGGACGCGUAGGCGGGUUGGAAAGUCAGGUGUGAAAUCCUACAGCUUAACUGUAGAACUGCACUUGAAACUUCUAACCUAGAGUAUGGGAGGGGGAGAUGGAAUUAGUGGUGUAGGGGUAAAAUCCGUAGAUAUCACUAGGAAUACCGAAAGCGAAGGCGAUCUCCUGGAACAUUACUGACGCUAAGGCGUGAAAGCGUGGGGAGCAAACGGGAUUAGAUACCCUAGUAGUC